RNAcentral lists this long non-coding RNA (868 nucleotides) under Felis catus (domestic cat). RNAcentral describes it as "lncRNA (ENSFCAG00000049784.1)". Lineage: Eukaryota; Metazoa; Chordata; Mammalia; Carnivora; Felidae. The record is from RNAcentral.
UUUAAAAAUGUUUUUAUUUAUUUUUGAGACAGAGAGAGACAGAGCAUGGGCAGGGGAGGGGCAGAGAGAGAGGGAGACACAGAAUCUGAAGCAGGCUCCAGGCUCUGAGCUGUCAGCACAGAGCCUGACAUGGGGCUCGAGCUCACGGACUGUAAGAUCAUGACGCGAGCUGAAGUCGGACGCUUAACCGACUAAGCCACCCAGGCGCCCCAAAGGCCCACAUUAUAGCCUCACCAUCCAGAGCAGGCAGGUCACCUUGGCACUCCUAGUCCCCAUCCGGCUCCCAGGCCCGGGAAAAGCAGAGCAGAGACAUGGAGGGGGCCUAGAACCAAAAGCGCAAGGCUCAAGCACCGCUCGAAUGUCCAACCAAACCCCAAGCCUGUGCUGCUCCUUUUAAGGAAGGGCCGCAGAAAGGAGUCUGCCAGACAUGGACUGGCCUAUAGCUGGAGGGAAUGCAGGACUAGGGGUGGAAGAAGAAGAGGCUGUCAGGAAAGGAGCCACAGAAACAAAGAUAAAGCCAGGAGAGCACAGGAGAGUUCCCAGCAGGAGGCGGGGAUGGUGAAGGGGCGGGCCCGGCCACGUUUGAGUAGCUCCAAGCAGGAUGGAACCAGUUCUGCAGAUGCUGCCCACUGUUCCGUGCCUGGGGCUCACCUCCAAGGAGUAGCGCCCAAUCUUCUCACACACAGGAUACUGCUCCCACCCUUCUUCACCAUGGCAAAACCCAGUCAUCGAGACUUGAACAUGAACUCCAUUUUCUCAGAGAACAACAGAAUCUGGCUAGAAUUUCCUUGCAAGUACACCCAAAUUCUAUAGAGAUUUCCAGAAAAUGAAUCCAUUUUGAGACUGCCCUGGAGAAGCAGACAAAAAC